CUCAUGGGCCAACAAUAACAAUAAUAUUGUUUAAGCUAUCUGCUACCAAUUUUAAUGAAUUGAAGCAAAAUUAGCUAAGUUAAUUCGGUGCUGCUGAGUGUGUUGACACACUUGAAAAGAAGUUGGAGGUUUUUUUUUAAUCUUCCAACAUUAUGUAAUUUGUAGAAUAUAAUUAUUUUGCAAAGAAUGAAAAGCAUUUUGCAUUUUGAAUGAGAUUAACUAAACAUUUAAUUAAA
RNAcentral lists this long non-coding RNA (236 nucleotides) under Panax ginseng (ginseng). Its description in RNAcentral is "long non-coding RNA (PGIN_LNC011758)". The record is from RNAcentral. Lineage: Eukaryota; Viridiplantae; Streptophyta; Magnoliopsida; Apiales; Araliaceae.